Non-coding RNA from Clostridium sp. CAG:354, 194 nucleotides. It matches the Rfam family "6S / SsrS RNA". From Rfam's summary of the family: E. coli 6S RNA was the first non coding RNA to be sequenced, but its function was unknown until recently. It consists of 184 nucleotides that fold into an extended hairpin structure with a large single-stranded internal bulge. The 6S RNA specifically associates with RNA polymerase holoenzyme containing the sigma70 specificity factor. NCBI's taxonomy places the organism in Bacteria, Bacillati, Bacillota, Clostridia, Eubacteriales, Clostridiaceae. The record is from Rfam.
ACUUCCCUGCAUAGUGCGUGUAGACUGGAAUUUUAGAACCAACAAAUUUUAUAAGGGAGUCCGCCUUUAAAUGUGGCGUGCAAGCUUACACUUUUAUUUAGUAGUAAGAAGCCCACAAACAUUUAACAAGACACCCACCUACGCGAGUAGGCUCUUAAAAUUUCUAAACUUCUUACGGCUAAGGCGGGGUAAGU